Molecule: ribosomal RNA, 465 nt
Filed under: uncultured Klebsiella sp.
Lineage: Bacteria; Pseudomonadati; Pseudomonadota; Gammaproteobacteria; Enterobacterales; Enterobacteriaceae
Description: bacterial SSU rRNA
Rfam family: Bacterial small subunit ribosomal RNA
Source: RNAcentral
CCUACGGGAGGCAGCAGUGGGGAAUAUUGCACAAUGGGCGCAAGCCUGAUGCAGCCAUGCCGCGUGUGUGAAGAAGGCCUUCGGGUUGUAAAGCACUUUCAGCGGGGAGGAAGGCGGUGAGGUUAAUAACCUCAUCGAUUGACGUUACCCGCAGAAGAAGCACCGGCUAACUCCGUGCCAGCGGCCGCGGUAAUACGGAGGGUGCAAGCGUUAAUCGGAAUUACUGGGCGUAAAGCGCACGCAGGCGGUCUGUCAAGUCGGAUGUGAAAUCCCCGGGCUCAACCUGGGAACUGCAUUCGAAACUGGCAGGCUAGAGUCUUGUAGAGGGGGGUAGAAUUCCAGGUGUAGCGGUGAAAUGCGUAGAGAUCUGGAGGAAUACCGGUGGCGAAGGCGGCCCCCUGGACAAAGACUGACGCUCAGGUGCGAAAGCGUGGGGAGCAAACAGGAUUAGAUACCCGAGUAGUC